UCUGUGUUGUUGUUUACAAAUACUGCUCUCUAGGUCUCAACAUCUCUUAAACACUGAGACUCUUCUUCUUCUUCACUCUCUUCACCGAACAAAAAAAAAAAAAAAAAAUUUUUGUUUAGGAGAGAUACCUUUUCGUUCUCUUCUAUAAUGGCGUAAGAUUGGUUUUUUGAUUCCUCCUUUCUCUAUUUUUUGAAGAACGAAGAAGAUUCAAAGCAGAGCAGAGCUAGGGUUUAUGAUUGAUGACCCAGAAUUAGGGUUCUCUUUGUCUUCUAAUUGAUGAAUGAGUUAGGGUUUCCAUGGCGUUUCUUCUUCUUCAACUUUCUCUCAUCUGAUUUGAUCGACCAACUAAAGGAAUAUAUAUUCAAGUGAUGAUCGGAAGAGCCGGAUGAUGGGGUUUCUUCUUUUGAUUUGACCGACCGCCAAAGUACAGAGAGAUGGAUUGAAGAAUAAAGAAGAAGAAUACUCGGAUCUGCUUUAUCUCAGAGAGAUGGAUUGAAGAGUGAAGACUGCUUAAGUGAUCCUAAUGGAAGUUAUAAGAAGACACUCUGAAUUCAUAGAUGAUGAAGAUAUAUAUGAUGCACUUUCUUCCCACUGAUGUUAAGGAUGGCAUCAAAAUCCUCUUCUUCUUAUUGGUCUGUGCUACUCAAGUGUGUGUGAGGGAUUAUGACCUUAACCAUGGAAUGCUCCUCUUCUUGCUUUGUGCUACUGAAGUUGGAACUCGACAAGGCACUAGAAUUCAACGCACCAUCCUUUGAACUAAAAGCUACUUGUCAUUGCCUCAUGCCAACAACUCCCAUCCACAGGUAUUAAACAGAUGUGUGUCCGUGUGUUCCAGCCAGAAUUUUUGGAGGAAGUAGAUUCACUCUAAAAACGGUUGAUGGAGAGCGUUCUUAAGGUAACAACAUCAACCUAAUUUUUGAAGGCAAGUGGUUCGAUGGCGUUUCUUCUUCUUCAAAUUUCUCUCAUUUGGUUUGAUCGACCAACUAAAGAUGCAGGAAGAUAUUGGUGCCAAGUGAUGAUCGGAGGAGCUGGAUGAUGGCGUUUCUUCUUCUGAUUUGACCGACCGCCAAGUACAGGUCAGAGAGAUGGAUUGAAGAAUACUCAAGUCUGCUUUAUCUCAGAGAGAUGGAUUGAACAGUGAAGAAGAAGAUGACUUAAGCAGACUGCUUAAGUGAUCCUAAUGGAAUUUAUCAGAAGACACUCUGAAUUCUCAGUUACUGUACGUGGGCUCCCAUCAUCUGUUCCAUGGCAACAUUUGAAGGAUCAUAUGUGGAGAGCUGGUUAUGUCUUCUUUAAUUUGCUGAGGUCACUCGAGACAGCUUCUGAGUCUUCCUCCUUUGUCCAUUUCAAAUUCUCCCCAUCCAUAAGUUAUGUUGCAGUCUUACACAACGAUGGUCAAAUCCUAUUCUGGAGAUUGAAUUGGCGUUUGUUUCAGGAGUCCAGAGAGACGACCACAAAUCUGUGAUACUUUAAUCUUCUGGAGAGUGUUGGGGUUUUAAUAAGAGGAGCCAAGAAUCAGUAUACCUGCUGCUGGUCAGAGAUGUAUUGAAAAAUGAAGAAGAAGACUCGUACUGCUUAAGGUCAAGAACCACCUGUGGCCUAGCGUUGAUGCUCAUAGCGGAGUGCUGCCGAACUAUUAUCGUCUAACCGAAAACAAGAUACAAAUACUACACUGCUUUUUGGGUGUCUCAAGGAGUCUCUUCAUCUGCUCACAGCUGAUAUAGGACCGGGCUCUUCGACUGCCACUAGAGCGGCCAAAGAGUGUAAACAUGGAGAGGUUACAUCUCCUCCAAAAGGUGAAACUUUGCAACUUCGUGGGGCCCUUAAGCUCCUCUCUAAACCACCGUAGGAUUAUCCGGUUCUUUGGUGUGGGUUUUAUGGGUCUUUGGUAACUUAUCAUCCAAAGUGUGGGGGUCAUAGGUGGUGGUUAUGCAGCUUUUGCUUUUUUUCAGGCUGGUCCUCAAGCUUUAUGAAGUGGUUGGUGCCUCUUAUUCUAACUGAGUCUGGAAAGGUCAAGAACCACCCAUGGCCUAACGUUGAUGCUCAUAGCGGAGUGUUGCUGAACUAUUAUCGUCUUACCGAAAGCAAGAUAAUUUUUCAAUCCAACCUGUUUUUCGUCAGAUCAAUGCUUCAGGUUUUGGUUUUACAGACCUUGUGUCGAGAUGGGCUACUAUAACAAUGUCUUUGAUGAAUGCAACGACCAAACUGAUAUCGGUAAUUACAAAGGAUUUAGAUUUGGAUUAAGCCUUAUGUUCAUGAGUCUUCGCAUUUUUCUAGACGAUGGAAGGGAAGUCAUUCUUCAAUGUUGGUCUCGCGUGUUCUCUUCUGCGACUGCAAGGAUGACGAAGAAGACUCUCUUGAAGUCAUUGCCGCCGCGGAGUCUGGAAGAGUGAAAACCAACCCCGACUUUGACAGCAAUACGUUCUGCGUCCCUGCUAACAGUGGAGAGUUGCUUUGUCAUUAUGUUGUCAAAGGAUCACAACAACAAGCAGCAAUAUGGACGGGCCUCAAGGAUUGUCAAAUUUGCUCAGAUACUACCAGAGAAAGGCAUCACUGGACCAUUUAUGGUUUCAGGUAUCAAAGAAGUAUGGUAUGAUGGAUGAAGCAUUGCAUUUGUAGUGAUUAUUUGGUUGUUGUCACGGCUGUCAGUGACUACAAAUAACCUCUCCAGCCUCAGAACCUGAAUGAUUGUGUUUCAUCUAUAGGUGACAAGAGGUGGAAGACGAGUGGAAAUUCUAUCUAUGAUAUUGUGGUGCGUGAUGUCAUACCUCUCAACAUUUGAAAUCAGGUGUGUGCUUAUCUAGCUCAUCGACUCAUACACAUCCAAACGACCAACAUAGAGCAAGAAAUCUAUGGUUCUGUUCACAAGAAACCUGCCCAAAAUCCAAGAAACACGCAACUGUCGUAAGAACUUCCACACACACAUUCAAAUAUACAGAGAUUCAGCAGAACAAUAAAACCCCCAUUGAGUAAAGCCUAAACAAUAUUACUCGUAAUACACAAUUUCAGCAGAAACCCACAGGUAAACAUUUGAACCACAUAUUUGCGUAGCUUAAUUUAAUUAAAAACAUAUGAGAUACACCCUGUACGCAAUAAGCAGAUUCUUAUAACAUCAAUGAAGAGCUAGUCAAACACAAAACGUCAUCCAAGCCAAUCAAUAAUUCAGUAUAAUGAAGAGAGAUUCAAAAAGUGACCCUUGGUGAUUGUAGGGUUGUAAAUUGGUCUGUCCAUAACCAAAUGGGCAUGUCCAUUUGGACACAUACAAUUUAUGGUCAUUUAUGUGUCAAGACCCAAAUACACCCACACUCAAAUAUGUCCAAACUAAAUAAGACCAUGACCAAUUGGUCUGUCCAUUGGUUGCAGAUUAAAGCAAAAUUCAUAAUCUCAUAAACUCAUAAUUAUAAAGCUAAAAGUUUAUAAACUCAUAAUUAUAAAGCUAAAGAUUUAUAAAUUUAUAAUACACUUAUAAUACUCAUAAAUACACGAAGAAAAAGAGAAGCGGCGAAAAAAAAAAAAAAAAUUCCCCAAAUAGUAAAAACCCUAAUUUUUUAGGAUUAUUGGACAGCCCACGUCCAAACUAGUUUAGACCAUAUAUAAAUGGGCUAAAUUGGUUUUAGGCCCAUUUGACCGUUUUAAAUUUGGUAAUAACCAAAACCAGUCCAAAUUAAUUUGGACCAGACAGCCCAUGGUUUUAGAGACCAAUUGACAUCUCUAGGUGAUUGGCAUAUCCAGUAAAUAUUAAAUAGUAGAUUCAUGAAGGAAAGAAGGAAAUACAGUACUUUUUAGUAACUUGAAAAGUUCAAAGUGCAAUUUUUUUUUUUUUUUUUGGAACUUUACGUUCA
This is a non-coding RNA of Camelina sativa (false flax), 3842 nucleotides long. Lineage: Eukaryota; Viridiplantae; Streptophyta; Magnoliopsida; Brassicales; Brassicaceae. The record is from RefSeq and is a predicted model, not a curated record.